UCUGGCGGGGGGAUUCAGUUAGGAAAGGCGGAGGUGUCGUCCGGUCGAUUCCAACGGACCCUACCCGGGGCCGGGCCGGCGACACGGUCUCCGUUUUACCUGACGCAUUUCCUCCCGCACUAAGGACGCCGCAGCCGGUUGGGUAGCUGCGUGAGUCGGCCAUGAGGACGGGCGCCGGCAGGUGGCCGGUGGCGUCGCUUCGGCUUCGCCGCCGGUUGUUAGCCAGUCCGUCCGUGGCGCGACACCCGACCGAGGUUAAAUGGUUCCCGUAUGGGAACUCGCCGUCCCCUGCUUCUCUCGGGAGGCAGCGGGCGCUCUGGCAGGCGCAUCGCGGUGUUGCCACGUCACUCCUCGUAGUGGCCGGUGCUCCGAGGGUGCUGUUGGCUGGAAGCGUCCCGCGGGGGUGCAUGCGGCUAGCGGCGAGUAGGUCGGUCACCCACCCGACCCGUCUUGAAACACGGACCAAGGAGUCUAACAUGUGCGCGAGUCACGGGGUCUUGAUUAGGCCCAGAGGCGCAAUGAAAGUGAAGGUCGACCUCGACGUCGGCUGUGUUGGGAUUUCUCGCCUCUCGGGGCGGGGAAGCACCAACGACCCGUCCUAUCCGAUUUAUCGGUUGGGCGGAGUUUGAGCGUACACGUUGGGACCCGAAAGAUGGUGAACUAUGCCUGGGCAGGACGAAGCCAGAGGAAACUCUGGUGGAGGUCCGUAGCGGUUCUGACGUGCAAAUCGAUCGUCAGACCCGGGUAUAGGGGCGAAAGAC
Molecule: ribosomal RNA, 761 nt
Filed under: Harpactea rubicunda
Lineage: Eukaryota; Metazoa; Arthropoda; Arachnida; Araneae; Dysderidae
Description: partial large subunit ribosomal RNA
Rfam family: Eukaryotic large subunit ribosomal RNA (bases 462-761)
Source: RNAcentral